AACCACAGACCCGUUCCAGAGAACUUCAGGGGAGGGGAGAUGCUUUCACUCUCUUCGGAGACUGAUAAGUCAUUUCUUGCUAUUGCUGCUUAGCUUCCCCGCAGCUUCUCUGGAAUCUCGGCGCUCGUGAGGCAGAGUCUCAAGGAACUGUUUUCUUUCGAGUUCGUCACUUCUCCUCUGCUUCGGCAGGGUCUGAGUCGUGUGGACUUGAGCAACAAGUUAACGGUUGUUGCCGCAACCUUGUGUAGCGGAUGAGACAGAAGCAGCCCCGUCGACGGGUACUAAGAUCAAGUUCGGCAUGUGACCUUGAGUUCUUGGGAUGAUUGCUCCUUCGGGGGUUAGCUUCCCAAUUGAGCUCGGUCGCCUUUGGCGCCGUGCCGCGGUAUAUUCCUAAACGCUGUGUAGGUCCUAUGGACCAGUUAUCAUUUGGGUAAAACCAUACCGCUGACAUUU
RNAcentral lists this small nucleolar RNA (453 nucleotides) under Lachancea thermotolerans CBS 6340. Its description in RNAcentral is "Small nucleolar RNA snR30". It matches the Rfam family "Small nucleolar RNA snR30". The record is from Rfam by way of RNAcentral. Lineage: Eukaryota; Fungi; Ascomycota; Saccharomycetes; Saccharomycetales; Saccharomycetaceae.